This 333-nucleotide long non-coding RNA is filed under the name Elaeis guineensis (African oil palm). RNAcentral describes it as "long non-coding RNA (EGUI_LNC044963)". The record is from RNAcentral. Lineage: Eukaryota; Viridiplantae; Streptophyta; Magnoliopsida; Arecales; Arecaceae.
UAGAUGUCAAUUCUUUAAGAAAGAGAAGAAGAACAAGAAGAAUAAGAAGAAGAUGCAAAGUGCUGGGGCACCCAAGCCCAAUUAGACUAAAAAACCUAAGUCCAAUUAGAGUCAGGCAGAAUGCUUUUGCUGCAAGAAGUAGAGAGACUGGAAGAGGAAUUAUCUCUGGUACAUUGCCUCUCUGGAUCCGAACAAGUCAAGAAAGAAGCAAGUUAUUGCUGGACAAGAUAAUUAUAUGAUAACAUCUUAUCAUUUCUCAAUUUGUGAUUCUACUACCUGCAUAUUAGAUAUCGAAAGCCCUUUUAAUAUUUAUAAUUCAUUGCAGGGUCCACA